This 264-nucleotide unclassified non-coding RNA is filed under the name Zea mays. Its description in RNAcentral is "misc RNA Zm00001eb059390". The record is from RNAcentral. Lineage: Eukaryota; Viridiplantae; Streptophyta; Magnoliopsida; Poales; Poaceae.
UUGUCGUCGUUAAUCUUCACCAGUGUCAAGGAAAGGCGGCAAAGGUUCUGCAAAGCGAGGGAAAUCCAUAGCAACACCGCAGCGCCAGCCAAGCGACAUCCUGCCACGCGUUCGCGUGCAAGCUACAAUAUCGAACACUCCGUAAGAUACCCUCAAAUGGCUAUCAAGGAGAUGGAAGACCUCGCUACGACCAUUCGGCAACUGGUGCCGAAUCCUACUGACGAACGAGUUCAGUGCCACCAUGUGCCAGAGCUCCUUGCUUAG